RNAcentral lists this ribosomal RNA (400 nucleotides) under uncultured fungus. RNAcentral describes it as "SSU rRNA". It matches the Rfam family "Eukaryotic small subunit ribosomal RNA", at positions 828 to 1228 of the family's 1831-position model. Lineage: Eukaryota; Fungi. The record is from RNAcentral.
CGCUGGUUCUAUUUUGUUGGUUUUCAGAGCCGUCGUAAUGAUCAAUAGGGACGGUCGGGGGCAUCCGUAUUCAAUCGUCAGAGGUGAAAUUCUUGGACCGAUUGAAGACGAACUACUGCGAAAGCUUUUGCCAAGGACGUUUUCGCUGAUCAGGAACGAAAGUUGGGGGAUCGAAGACGAUCAGAUACCGUCGUAGUCUCAACUAUAAACUAUGCGAAUUAGGGAUCGGGCGAUGUUUCUUUAUUCGACUCGCCCGGCACCUGAGGGAGAAAUCAAAACCGCGCUUCGGGGGAAGUACGGUCGCAAGGCUGAAACUUAAAGAAAUUGACGGAAGGGCACCACCAGGGGUGGAGCCUGCGGCUUAAUUUGACUCAACACGGGGAAACUCACCAGGUCCAGA